CGUCCGCAGCCUCUCCACGAACGCGCCGUCCCCGACCCGCGGGCAGCCGAAGACGACGGCCGUCACGGGGAUGUCGGGGACGACGACGUUUUCGACGAGGUCGAACGCCGAGAGCACGGCCAGCGCCGCGCCCAGGCUGUGCCCCGUCACGACUAUGCUGAGGUUUUCAUCUUUGUAGAGACCUUGAAGUUGAAGAAUCUGGGCGCGGAGCUGAUCGCGGGCGCUGAGGGUUUGGGAUUGGGAAUUAGGGUUUGAGGAGGUGUAGAUUCUGACCAGCCGUCCAUGAUUGGGGCGGGGUCGGCGCGGGGUGAUGGCGGAGCGGGGACGGGCCGAGUGGCGUCGACCACUCGUGGCUGGUGCCGCGCCAGACGACGUAGACUCGCGGCGCGCCGGGGAGGUGGAGGGGAGGUGGCGACGUAGCCAUGAAGCUGGUCUCGCGUGGGAGGGGAUGUCGAGGGUGGCGGUGGCGUAGAGGAAGGAGGAGAUCUGGUAGGCGGAGGCGGAGGGGAACUUGACCUUGUGGAAGAAGGAUUUCUCGCCGUAGCGGGAGGAGCCGGCGUAGGGGGAGUUGUCGUCGUCGUCGAAGGAGUCGUAGGUGCACUGGCAGAAGUCGCCGCAGAGGAGGAGGAAGCGGCGGAGGGAGAGGUCUAAGGGGUCCAGUAGGCCUUCCCAGUUGUUGCAGCCGAGGAGCUCCGCCCAUGACGGCGGCUCUGCUACGACAUCGUUAACGGUUUCUUCCAUGGCCUAAUUAUAAGUAUAUUUUGCUUGCGGAAAUGCUGUGGUUGAUAGUUGAUAUCACGAAAACGGUUAUGGAUAGCUAUAUACAUAGUGUUUCAAAAAAAGUAAAUUAACAUUUUUUUUUUUCGCGGUUGAAUUAGAUAUUUAUGUUAUUGAUCGAAUAAAUAUCUAAUUCCGGAGAUCGAGAUCCAAUAUCCCACAAUUUUAUGUGUACCCUAAUUGGGCUUAUAACGAGUAUGUGAAUUUUUUUGUUUAUUGUUACAUUUUGGUAGUACUAUAUAUAAAAUAAAAAGAGAGCGGACUUUAAAAAUGUCGGUUUUGAAAUAGUAGUAAAAAUAAAUUAAAGAUUGUCCAUUUAAAUAAUUUUUUUUAAAAAUAAGUCAUACUUACCGUUUUUAUCGUUGACAUAAAAAAAUUUAAAAAUUAUCCAUUAAUUAUCCAUUUUAAUUACCAUUGUGUUACGAAAUGGGACACAAUUAGAAACUUUGAUAUAUAUGUGAAAAUGAUGUUUUGAGUUUAUGUGAAAAUGUGAAUGGUAUGUUUCCAAUAAACUAGGUGGAGAUUGAAUAGCAUGUGGAACGAGAUAAGAUAAGGAUAAUAUAACUUAACUAUAUAUAUAUAAUAAAAAAAAACUUAGCUAUAUAUUUUUGGACGUCAAUAGAAAGUAAAAUUAGGUUGCGAAACUCGAACAAAAUAUUAUAAAAUAAAAUGAUGGAACUCAAAACAUUUUGGCGCAUACAUGCCACAAAAAUUAAAUAUUAGGACCAUCUAGACAUCACGUUUUUUAACUUCGAAUAAGCAUAUGUACAGUAUUUGGAAUUUUGGAGCACACAACAUAAUCAUGGCGCAAGUAUUAUGCGUUAAUUAACUUUAUUUGCAAUAUGCUCAACUCUUUUUUUUUUUUUUUUUGAAUUUGGAAGAAAACUUUAUCGAUGAAUCUCACAAAAACACCCGGGAAGCGGAAGACCAACCACAAAAGGGGGCGUGGCUCAGUCCACACAUAAGGGAUAAUGUGAUUUAAAGCAUUACGAGCAAUAUAAUGAGCUAAAACAUUAACCUCUCUACUGAUAUGUGUAAUCGGAAAAGAGUUAUUCUCAAUAAACAUGAUCUUACAUGUUUCUAUUAUUCCUCCAAACUCCGACCUAUUCAUAUCUGAAUCUGAGGAAUUGACAACAUCCACCACAUCUUGCUGUCCAUCUGAAACACCACUUGACCAAGGCCUAAACUUUUUAUCCACGACAACACGCAUGCAACCAUGAAAACACCGAGCUCUAGCUUGCACCAGAACAACAACGGAUCUAGCAUAGAACAUGGGGUACAACUGCAAUCCCCAAAAAAUAAAAAAUAAAAUAAUAGUAUUAAUAUUUUUUAUAUGUAAAUUAUUUUAGAUUUAGUUUUUGCACCCUAAUUAAAAAUAUAACCUCAAAGAAAUAUAUAAGCUCAAUUUUAAAACAAAUCCUAAACUUCAAAAUUAAACAAUAUUUGGGGAUGUUUAUGUUUAUUAUUAAAUAUUUUUUAAAUUUAUGAUCAUGUAAUUAUUUAUCGCACCCCCGAUUUAAAUAUUCUGGAUCCGCCACUGCACCAGAACUCCACCCUCAUUUCACAGCACAAAUUCCUACUCCUGUCCGAUUUUCGCAGCAAAUAUUUCUCCAAUCUCUUAUCAAACCAGCUUGUGAAAGCCGAAAAUAACUAAAACGAAAAGAAGUUACUCCAACUUGAUAUAUAUCUUUUCGUUCUGAUUAAUGCUCUAAGUUCAAGUUAAUUUUUGGUUUCAAAUGGUCUAUCAUUGUAAUUAGGUUUGUGUUAUUCUAAAUUUAAGGAUGUUUACUCUGCAUGAUUAAUGAUAAAUGCACGAUUUAGUAUUUUUAUUAAUAGGAUUUUUCCAAUUCCACCUUUUUAAUGGAAUAAAAAUCAAACAAAUUUAGAUUAAAUGAUAGAAAUAGGAUAUUGAGAUAUUCUAAAGUUUCAAUCCAUCAAAAUAAAUAAAGGAUUAAUCUUAUUAUUUUUGUCUGGCUCUCAAGAUUAAUCUUUUAAAGUAAACGCCCCUAAGAUAAUUUUCAAUGUCAGAUAAUUAGUCUAGAUGGUGGUGCAUGUAGUUAAUGGAAUAAAGAGGAGUUUUAUAUGUUAAUUAGUAACUAUAAUUUGGUUGUACAUGUCUCUUUUAUUUCUUUUUGUUUGUUAUUGUUAAUGUAUAUAUAUGUAUUUCUUUAAACAAUUAAAAUACUGAGUGUUUACUUUUCAAGAUUAAAUAUUUCAUUCUUGUUCUCUAAACCCACUUUUUCAAUGUGAUAAAAAUCAAAUAAAAUUAGCUUAAAUAAUUGAAAUAAUUAAGAACAUUUGAAUAUCCCAAAUUAAGUUCCAAUAAAUAAGAAUUAACUUUAAUAUUUUUAUCUAACAAGAUUAAUCUUCAAAAAUAAACUCCCCUUAUUGAUGGAGUGUUCGAGUCAGCUUCAUCAUUGUUGAAGGCGUGGCUUGGCAGAAGUCGCCGUAGCGGAGGAUGAGGCGGCGGAGGUCAAGGUUUAGGGGCUCCAAGUAGGCCGCUCCAGUCGUUGCUGCCGAGCAGCUCCGGCCACGGUGCCGCCGCUUCUGCGUUUGUUGACGCCUGAGUUUCUUCCAUGGCUAGCUAGAAUUGUUUGAUUAAUUUGUGAUCGGAAUUUUUGAAUUUAAUAAGAAAGAUAUGAGACAAGUAGGAAUUGAAGAAGAUAUGUUCAUUGGAGGAUAGGGUUGUGUGAGUGUUGUGUGGACCAUUCAUGCAUUCCAAUUAGUGUAAAGGAUAGUUAAUGAGAUUAUGUGUGAAGUGAAUAGGAAAAUAUUUUACUCCCUCCAUACCUAUCUUGAGACAUUUUUUUUUGGGCGUCCCAUCUAUUUCGAAACAUUUAUAUAUUUGGCAAAAAUUUUACUUUUUAUUCAUCUUUUCACUUUUUUUUCUAUACACAAAAUAAUACUUUCUUAAUUUUCGUGUAAAAAAAAGGUCUCAAGAUAGUCGAGACGGAGGGAGUAUAUAUAAACGGACCAAAAAAUAGAGUUAGAAAGAUGAUGAUUGUGAACGUUCAGCGUGAGUAAUAGACUAAUAGUUACAGCCAGGCCCAAGAUGAGAACAUGUUUUGGAGGCCCAAACACAUUUAUAACUAUAUAUGCAUUAAGAUCCAAAUGAAGAUCAACAUGCAAGUAUCAGGGUACAAAAGUUCAAUCAGCUAGGCCAUUUUAAUUUGGGGCCUGCCCCCUAAAUAUGUAUGUGUAUACACAUCUAUACACUAUAUUAUUAAAUUUCUUUCGUCGACAAAAACAAAAUUUUCUCAUGCCUAUAAAUUACUUAUAAUAAAUUUGUAAUAUAUAUUUGUUAUAUAUGAAUCCAUAUAUCCUUAAAAAAAGAUUAUUUUAUUUUGUAUUGAUCGUAAAUUCAUAAAUUUUUUCCGCUAUGCCUGUAUGCUCCUCCAGGUCGUUGGAGGCCAAAUCAAUUAUUUUUUCCGCGAUAAGUUGAGAGUCAAAACUAAUUUUAAUGAUAAUAAAGAGUCCACUUUUGUAGCACUUAUUUUCCCUCUAGAAUUAAGAUGUUGAUUUAGAGGGUGUUUGGCUGGCCUUAUACGUUCUUUAAAAUAGCUUAUAAGUUGUUUAAAGGUUUAUAAGCUUCUUCAAAAUAUUUGGCAAAAUAAGCUCCUAAUUAUAAGCGGUAAAAUUAAACUUUAAGAGCGCUCCCCAAAAAAUAAGUUCUUCUAUCCCAACUUAUUUUCUCAUUUUCUUAUAAGCAACACUCAUUUUACAAAAAUAACUCAACUACGUAUGAUUUUUUAUUUUCAUUAUAUAUCAUUCUAAUUUUAUCUCUUUUCGAUUUUCUCUCUCUAAAAAAAAAUUAUUUUUCUAGCUUAUAUGUAAGCUCAAUUAUCCAAAACACUUUGACAACUUAUAAGAUCUUAAAAACUAGUACAUCUUAUAAAUUCUUGAAAUAUCUUAUAACUUAUAAGCUCCAAGAACUUAUAAGCUUUUUAAAAUAAACUUAGCCAAACACCCUCUUAGUCGAACGAUAGAAAGUUCAGUUUUUUCUAAGUAGAACUCCAACUUAUUCCACAAGCCACAGCAAACUCAAAAUUCAGCCAUUUUCAUUUAUGCAACUUCAAGAAAAUUUCACUAUAAAUACCCCUCUCUCUCAAUACAUUUUGCACCACCAUCUUCUUAAAUUUGUAGUUUUAGUACUCAAAUAAUUAAGUAAAGCAAUUUGUAGUUUUAGUCUCAAUAUUUUUUAUGAUUUAUUGUGCUAUAUAUUUUUAGCAUAGUUAACUUUAAUUUGCAGCAGCACAAACUAUGCAUGUAGUUGGAGACAGCAUAGGAUGGGAUAUUCCCCCAAAUACUUCUAGGAGUGAGCAAAAUCCGGUUAAAUCCGAAAAUCCGAACCGAACCUAACCGAAAUACUAAUUCGGUUCGGUUAAUUUGGUUUUCGGUUCGGGUUUGGUUUUGAAUUUUGAAAUUUUCGAUUUUUCGGUUCGGUUAUGGUUUUUAUGAAAAAAUGUUUGGUUAACCGAAAACCGAACCGAAAUAAUAAUUAAUUUAAUAAUUUAUAUGUAUUAUUUAAAAAUUAAAAUGAUUAUUAUUACUACUAUAUAAAAUAGUCAAUAAUUACUCUUAAUCUCGGUCAAUUUAAAAAAAAAAAAACUUUUCAAUAAUUACUCUUAAUUUAUACUCUUAAUCUUUGGUUAAGAUGUUUUGAAAUUUUGGAUUAUUAUUUUUUAGGGAUUUCGAAUCUUGUAUAUUGAAUGUUAAUUAGUUAUUUAAACUUUAAAAAAUAUAUUGUGUAUUUAUUUCGGUUAUUUGGUUUUAACCGAAACCGAACCGAAAUAUUUCGGUUCGGAUUUGGAUAUUAAUUAUAUAAUUCGGUUUUAAGUUGGUUUUUGUUAUUCGGUUCGAUUCGGUGACCGAAUAACCGAAUGCUCACCCCUAAAUACUUCUGCCUCAUAUUCCAAUUGGGCUUCAGCCAAAACAUUCAUGGUUGGUGACAUCCUAGGUACAUACAUGUAUAUCUCUCUCACCGUGCUUUCAAAGGUUUAGAUUCUUUUUUUCCUUUUCUUUUUUAAUGCAACCUCUAUUUGAUUCAAUAGCAACAAAAUUAAAAAUUAGUUAAUAGAACACUUACAAGUAUUCUAUUAGAGCAUGUGAGUGGUUGAUUGACAAGUUUUGUGAUUAUAAAUAUACACUUGAUAAAAUCGACCUACCUAUACUGACAUGUUAUAUUAAAUUAUUUAAUUAUCUAGUGUUCAACUAACCAGCAUGACGUAGUCCAAGUGCCCAAAGCUUCCUACGAUGAUUGCUGCCAUCGGCAACGUACGUCAUCAUCGCCGGACCAGCGAAUAUCACCCUCAACUCUGCCGGCGACCGCACACAAAUUGAUUGAUUAAUUAUUAUACAAAAGUAAGUAGAACAUAUACCAGAAAAACCAUUUACUAUUAUUUUCUUAAAAAAAUAUUAUUUUAUUUAGGGUUAAUUGAUUAAAUAAAUUCAUAAAUUUUUAAUGAUUUUUUUUUUUUUGCAUGCUCUAUUAAGUUGUGAAUAAAUACAUGAACUUGGAUAAUUACCCAAAAUUAAGAUUUUAUCCGAUGAGAUUUUAUUAAAAGUCAUGUCGCUUCCCCAUAUAAAGGUAUUUCAGAGAUGGAAAUGAGUACUAAUUUAUGGAUAUAACCAAUUAGCAUUUUUUUUUUUUAUAAAUUACAUAACUAAAUACAGAAAUUUAAAGACUUUUUUUUUAUUUUCUUGAUAAAUUACAUAAGUAAAUAAAAAAAUUUAAAGACUUUUUUUUUCAUUUUUUGAUAAAUUACAUAACUAAAAGUAAUCAUUGUUAACUAUUUGGUCAAGUAAUCAUUGUCGCAACAAAAAGUAAUUAUUGUUACAAUAAAAUGUAAUAUUCAUAAAGUAUUACAUUUAUUCACGAUAAGUGUUACUUUUAUUCAUGAGAACUUGUACAACUACACAUAAGUAUACAUUUGUGCGAAUAAAUGUAUAUCUUAUGCUAUUAAAAGUAACCAGUCGCAUACUAUGCGACCGGCCACAUGCAAGACCAACCCCAGAAAUUUAAAGAGCGUACGACGAAGGACUCAAACCCACAAGACUUCAAGUCUUGGACAUUAACCUCUUGCCGUACGUUAGGGCAUCACGCGCGCGCAUUAGCACGUUUAUUUAUUAGUAAUACAAAGCAUGAACGAAACAUACAAAUUAUUACGACACGUACGAUUAUGCAAUAGAAACACAAAUUGGCAAUAGUAGAGGAUAUGAUCACUCCGGCACGGCGGGGCAAUCGUCGUCGUCGUCGUCGAGCGGCGGCUUCAACACCCACUCCCCGUCCUGAUCAAGCAUCAUCCCCUUAUUCUCCGCCACCCACCACGACGCCGGGAUCUGACACUCUUUAGUCAGUAAGUUACUCGCCUUAUUCACCAACGCCAAGCUCCUCUUCACCACCACCUCGAACUCCCCCUCCUCCCCGUGCCACCCCGCCACCGCGUGCAGUAUCCCCCUGCAAAUUAUGAAAGUCCCCAGAUUAUCCGUCGGAGUCAGCGACGGCGACUUGCUGCCGUCGACCACCAGCUCCACGCCGGCCGCCGUGUACCCGAAUCCGAACGGGAGGUUCGGAACAAUGUCGAGCAAGUUCUUCGUGUGCAGGAUCUUCAGGUUCGGGUGCGUCCCGAGCCUCUCCACGAACGCGCCGUCCCCGACCCGCGGGCAGGCGAAGACGAUGGCCGUCACGGUGAUGUCGGGGACGACGUUCUCGACAAGGUCGAACGCCGAGAGCACGGCCAGCGCCGCGCCCAGGCUGUGCCCCGCCACCACUAUGCUGAGGUUUUCAUCUUUGUAUUGAUCCCGAAGUUGGAGAAUCUGGGCGCGGAGCUGCUCGCGGGCGCUGAGCUUUCCGAAUUGGGAAUUAGGGUUUGAGGAGGUGUAGAUUCUGACCCAGCCGUCCAUGACAUUGCCGGGGGCGUCGGGGGUGAUGGCGGACGCGGGGACGGGCACGAUGUCCGCGUC
This 7740-nucleotide long non-coding RNA is filed under the name Salvia miltiorrhiza (redroot sage). Its description in RNAcentral is "long non-coding RNA (SMIL_LNC007295)". Lineage: Eukaryota; Viridiplantae; Streptophyta; Magnoliopsida; Lamiales; Lamiaceae. The record is from RNAcentral.